ACGAAUCGAAAACAUCAGGACGAUCAAGAUCAAGGUUACGUAACUAAAACAGGUCAUUUGUUCGACUAGGUGCUAGUUUCCAUUAGUUUGCGAUAAAAUCGAGGUGAUGCGGAAUCGAUCAUGCGCACGAAUGAACGCGGACAAGAAAAGAAAUCUUCUUGUGAAAAAGCAGGGAUUGUUUGCUAUAGGCUAAGGUUAUGUAUAUCUAUUCAAGAAGGAACCGAAGUUUGCCACCAAACGUUCGAUAGAUCAGUAUAAUCGAUUCUCGUCUUGCAUCUAAUUCUUGCUUGUUCAGUGUGAUUCGAUUAAAUCAAUGGUUUCAAUUACACGGUAGUGUUAGGUUUUAAUUAGUGGUCUAGAAGAUGUGAAGUGAAAGAUAGUAUAAACUACCUGUAUACAAUAGGUUUAUCUUUACAUAAUUCAAUCAGUGAAACGUGUCAACAAAGUUUUAAAUCAAGAUAGACUUGUCGAUUCGAGUGAAACAUCAAUUGGCUGCCAUCAUCGAAGCAAAUCUUUGAAGAGUGUAAAAAUGGGUGUGGAAUAAGCACGUGCUAGCUCGAGCCAACGGUUUGGACGACGAGGCGAGAGAGGAAAGGAGAGAGGAGCGAGAGAAAGGGGAUCUCGAACGAUCACGUGUCGUUCCCUCGCGCGUAUUUUGGAAAAUAAUUUUCGAGGAGCAAAAGGAGGUCGUUCCGUGCCAAGAUCCAGGAAGAAGACGCGUUUAUCGCGCGAACACAACAACGGACGCGCGGCUCCACUCGAUUAAUUACCUUUUGAUCGAGGUGAAACCGAGAGAAGGGAACCGACAGAGAGAGAGGAGGGAAAAACGAAGAGGAUCGUAACGACCUACCGAUAUCGCACGAUCAAAGGCAACCGUACGAGGGAAAGGUGUACCUGUCGCGACGCGAGAGUGCACGUAAACAUCUUCAGAGGCCCGUCCCGCGCAUCCUGGAUCGUCCUCGUUAGAAAGUUCGAUCUCUCUACCCGAACCGCGAGAAAACCGACUCUCUAUCGAUAUAUCCCACGUUAUAUUCUAUCCAAUUAUAUUUUCCUCCUCUAAACAUUCUCAACUACGCUACUCCCACACGUAUUGUUACGUAUAUAAAACAAAGUGUUAAAACAUAGUGAUUGAAUAGUGUCCUUUAAGGAGAAAAUAUUAAUUUCAACGGAAUAUUCAAUGUUAUUAUACUUACGAAGAGUGGAGAACCGUGAGAUUCAACGAGAUAUAUAUGUAUACAUAUAUAUAACAGUGGCUCGUAUUUAUAAGUGUGUGCCCGCGGACCGGAA
Long non-coding RNA from Apis dorsata (giant honeybee), 1287 nucleotides. RefSeq lists it as uncharacterized. The transcript has 3 exons. The record is from RefSeq and is a predicted model, not a curated record. NCBI's taxonomy places the organism in Eukaryota, Metazoa, Arthropoda, Insecta, Hymenoptera, Apidae.